RNAcentral lists this ribosomal RNA (439 nucleotides) under uncultured bacterium. RNAcentral describes it as "partial 16S ribosomal RNA". It matches the Rfam family "Bacterial small subunit ribosomal RNA", at positions 338 to 795 of the family's 1533-position model. The record is from RNAcentral.
CCUACGGGUGGCAGCAGUGGGGAAUAUUGCACAAUGGGGGAAACCCUGAUGCAGCAACGCCGCGUGAGUGAAGAAGUAUUUAGGUAUGUAAAGCUCUAUCAGCAGGGAAGAAGAUGACGGUACCUGAGUAAGAAGCCCCGGCUAACUACGUGCCAGCAGCCGGGGUAAUAGGCAGGGGGAAGCGUUAAUCGGGGUUAAUGGGUGUAAAGGGAGAGGAGACGGUUGGACAAGUCUGAAGUGAAAUCCCGGGGCUCAACCCCGGGACUGCUUUGGAAACUGCCUGGCUGGAGUGCAGGAGAGGCAAGCGGAAUGCCUGGUGUAGCGGUGAAAUGCGUAGAUAUUAGGAAGAACACCAGUGGCGAAGGCGGCUUGCUGGACAGUAACUGACGUUGAGGCUCGAAAGCGUGGGGAGCAAACAGGAUUAGAUACCCCAGUAGUC